UACGUAGGGUGCGAGCGUUAAUCGGAAUUACUGGGCGUAAAGCGUGCGCAGGCGGUUUGUAAGCCAGAUGUGAAAUCCCCGGGCUUAACCUGGGAAUGGCAUUUGGGACUGCAAGGCUGGAGUACGGCAGAGGAGACUGGAAUUCCUGGUGUAGCAGUGAAAUGCGUAGAGAUCAGGAGGAAUACCGAUGGCGAAGGCAGGUCUCUGGGCUGAUACUGACGCUCAUGCACGAAAGCGUGGGGAGCAAACAGG
RNAcentral lists this ribosomal RNA (252 nucleotides) under uncultured bacterium. RNAcentral describes it as "partial 16S ribosomal RNA". It matches the Rfam family "Bacterial small subunit ribosomal RNA", at positions 524 to 776 of the family's 1533-position model. The record is from RNAcentral.